This is a long non-coding RNA of Oncorhynchus keta (chum salmon), 552 nucleotides long. RefSeq lists it as uncharacterized. The record is from RefSeq and is a predicted model, not a curated record. The transcript is spliced from 3 exons. NCBI's taxonomy places the organism in Eukaryota, Metazoa, Chordata, Actinopteri, Salmoniformes, Salmonidae.
AGGGGUACUAUGAUGCAGUAGCCUGCUGAGGUAAAGAGGAGAUGGAGGGAGACUAUGAUGCAGUAGCCUGCUGAGGUAAAGAGGAGAUGGAGGGGUACUAUGAUACAGUAGCCUGCUGAGGUAAAGAGGAGAUGGAGGGGUACUAUGAUGCAGUAGCCUGCUGAGGUAAAGAGGAGAUGGAGGGGUACUAUGAUACAGUAGCCUGCUGAGGUAAAGAGGAGAUAGAGGGAGACUAUGAUGCAGUAGCCUGCUGAGGUAAAGAGGAGAUGGAGGGGUACUAUGAUACAGUAGCCUGCUGAGGUAAAGAGGAGAUAGAGGGAGACUAUGAUGCAGUAGCCUGCUGAGGUAACGAGGAGAUGGAGGGGUACUAUGAUGCAGUAGCCUGCUGAGGUAAAGAGGAGAUGGAGGGGUACUAUGAUGCAGUAGCCUGCUGAGGUAAAGAGGAGAUGGAGGGAUACUAUGAUGCAGUAGCCUGCUGAGGUAAAGAGGAGAUGGAGGGGUACUAUGAUGCAGUAGCCUGCUGAGGUAAAGAGGAGAUGGAGGGAGACUAUG